UUGCAAUGAUGGUUAUAUCAUCUACAGAAUGCUUAUGUUGAUCACAAACUCGAGCUUUUUAAAUCUGAGCAAG
Molecule: small nucleolar RNA, 73 nt
Filed under: Haliotis rubra (blacklip abalone)
Lineage: Eukaryota; Metazoa; Mollusca; Gastropoda; Lepetellida; Haliotidae
Source: RNAcentral